Molecule: ribosomal RNA, 924 nt
Filed under: Pseudomonas sp. C1W-5
Lineage: Bacteria; Pseudomonadati; Pseudomonadota; Gammaproteobacteria; Pseudomonadales; Pseudomonadaceae
Description: bacterial SSU rRNA
Rfam family: Bacterial small subunit ribosomal RNA
Source: RNAcentral
GCCUAAACAUGCAGUCGAGCGGAUGAAGAGAGCUUGCUCUUUGAUUCAGCGGCGGACGGGUGAGUAAUGCCUAGGAAUCUGCCUGAUAGUGGGGGACAACGUUUCGAAAGGAACGCUAAUACCGCAUACGUCCUACGGGAGAAAGCAGGGGACCUUCGGGCCUUGCGCUAUCAGAUGAGCCUAGGUCGGAUUAGCUAGUUGGUGAGGUAAUGGCUCACCAAGGCGACGAUCCGUAACUGGUCUGAGAGGAUGAUCAGUCACACUGGAACUGAGACACGGUCCAGACUCCUACGGGAGGCAGCAGUGGGGAAUAUUGGACAAUGGGCGAAAGCCUGAUCCAGCCAUGCCGCGUGUGUGAAGAAGGUCUUCGGAUUGUAAAGCACUUUAAGUUGGGAGGAAGGGCAUUAACCUAAUACGUUAGUGUUUUGACGUUACCGACAGAAUAAGCACCGGCUAACUUCGUGCCAGCAGCCGCGGUAAUACGAAGGGUGCAAGCGUUAAUCGGAAUUACUGGGCGUAAAGCGCGCGUAGGUGGUUUGUUAAGUUGAAUGUGAAAGCCCCGGGCUCAACCUGGGAACUGCAUCCAAAACUGGCAAGCUAGAGUAUGGCAGAGGGUGGUGGAAUUUCCUGUGUAGCGGUGAAAUGCGUAGAUAUAGGAAGGAACACCAGUGGCGAAGGCGACCACCUGGGCUAAUACUGACACUGAGGUGCGAAAGCGUGGGGGAGCAAACAGGAUUAGAUACCCUGGUAGUCCACGCCGUAAACGAUGUCGACUAGCCGUUGGGAUCCUUGAGAUCUUAGUGGCGCAGCUAACGCAUUAAGUCCACCGCCUGGGGAGUACGGCCGCAAGGUUAAAACUCAAAUGAAUUGACGGGGGCCCGCCCAAGCGGUGGAGCAUGGGUUUAAUUCCAAGCAACGCGAAAA